CCUACGGGUGGCUGCAGUGAGGAAUAUUGGUCAAUGGGCGUAAGCCUGAACCAGCCAUCCCGCGUGAAGGAAGAAGGCGCUAUGCGUCGUAAACUUCUUUUCCAGAGGAAUAAAAUUUUGUACGAGUACAGAACUGAAGGUACUUUGGGAAUAAGCAUCGGCUAACUCCGUGCCAGCAGCCGCGGUAAUACGGAGGAUGCGAGCGUUAUCCGGUUUUAUUGGGUUUAAGGCGUGCGAAUAAGGCUGAGGAGAAAACCUUCAGCUUAACUGGAGAACUGCCAUUGAUACUGUUAGUCUUGAGUACGGUCAAGGUAGGCGGAAUGUGUAAUGUAGCGGUGAAAUGCUUAGAUAUUACACAGAACACCGAUUGCGAAGGCAGCUUACUGGGCCAUUACUGACGCUGAUGCACGAAAGCGUGGGGAGCGAACAGGAUUAGAUACCCCAGUAGUC
RNAcentral lists this ribosomal RNA (450 nucleotides) under uncultured bacterium. RNAcentral's name for it is "partial 16S ribosomal RNA". It matches the Rfam family "Bacterial small subunit ribosomal RNA", at positions 338 to 795 of the family's 1533-position model. The record is from RNAcentral.